GUCUACGGCCAUGCCACCCUUAACAAGCCCGAUAUCUGAUCUCGGAAGCUAAGGAGGGUUGGGCCCGGUUAGUACUUGGAUGGGAAAUCACCUAGGAAGACCAGGAAGACCAGGUGCUGUAGGCA
RNAcentral lists this ribosomal RNA (125 nucleotides) under Pteropus vampyrus (large flying fox). The record is from RNAcentral. Lineage: Eukaryota; Metazoa; Chordata; Mammalia; Chiroptera; Pteropodidae.